AGUGAACGCUGGCGGCGUGCCUAAUACAUGCAAGUCGAACGAUGAAGUCCUAGCUUGCUAGGAUGGAUUAGUGGCGCACGGGUGAGUAAUAUAUAGUUAAUCUGCCCUACACAGAGGAACAACAGUUGGAAGCGGCUGCUAAUACCUCAUACUCCUAUUUGACAUAAGUUAAAUAGGGAAAGUCUUUUCGGUGUAGGAUGAGACUAUAUCGUAUCAGCUAGUUGGUAAGGUAAUGGCUUACCAAGGCUAUGACGCGUAACUGGUCUGAGAGGAUGAUCAGUCACAUUGGAACUGAGACACGGUCCAAACUCCUACGGGAGGCAGCAGUAAGGAAUAUUGCGCAAUGGGGGAAACCCUGACGCAGCAACGCCGCGUGGAGGAUGACACUUUUCGGAGCGUAAACUCCUUUUAUCAGGAAAGAAUAAUGACGGUACCUGAUGAAUAAGCACCGGCUAACUCCGUGCCAGCAGCCGCGGUAAUACGGGGGGUGCAAGCGUUACUCGGAAUCACUGGGCGUAAAGGACGCGUAGGCGGAUUAUCAAGUCUUUUGUGAAAUCUAGUGGCUUAACCACUAAACUGCUUAGGAAACUGAUAGUCUAGAGUAGGGGAGAGGUAGAUGGAAUUCUUGGUGUAGGGGUAAAAUCCGUAGAGAUCAAGAAGAAUACCCAUUGCGAAAGCGAUCUGCUGGAACCUAACUGACGCUGAGGCGUGAAAGCCGGGGUACCAAACAGG
This 732-nucleotide ribosomal RNA is filed under the name uncultured Campylobacter sp. RNAcentral describes it as "bacterial SSU rRNA". It matches the Rfam family "Bacterial small subunit ribosomal RNA", at positions 28 to 776 of the family's 1533-position model. The record is from RNAcentral. Lineage: Bacteria; Pseudomonadati; Campylobacterota; Epsilonproteobacteria; Campylobacterales; Campylobacteraceae.